This 497-nucleotide ribosomal RNA is filed under the name uncultured bacterium. Its description in RNAcentral is "partial 16S ribosomal RNA". It matches the Rfam family "Bacterial small subunit ribosomal RNA", at positions 28 to 507 of the family's 1533-position model. The record is from RNAcentral.
GAUGAACGCUGGCGGCGCGCCUAAUACAUGCAAGUCGAGCGAACAGACGAGGAGCUUGCUCCUCUGACGUUAGCGGCGGACGGGUGAGUAACACGUGGAUAACCUACCUAUAAGACUGGGAUAACUUCGGGAAACCGGAGCUAAUACCGGAUAAUAUAUUGAACGGCAGGGUUCAAGAGUGAAAGACGGUUUUGCUGUCACUUAUAGAUGGAUCCGCGCCGCAUUAGCUAGUUGGUAAGGUAACGGCUUACCAAGGCAACGAUGCGUAGCCGACCUGAGAGGGUGAUCGGCCACACUGGAACUGAGACACGGUCCAGACUCCUACGGGAGGCAGCAGUAGGGAAUCUUCCGCAAUGGGCGAAAGCCUGACGGAGCAACGCCGCGUGAGUGAUGAAGGUCUUCGGAUCGUAAAACUCUGUUAUUAGGGAAGAACAAAUGUGUAAGUAACUAUGCACGUCUUGACGGUACCUAAUCAGAAAGCAACGGCUAACUACGUG